Molecule: ribosomal RNA, 484 nt
Filed under: uncultured bacterium
Lineage: Bacteria
Description: partial 16S ribosomal RNA
Rfam family: Bacterial small subunit ribosomal RNA
Source: RNAcentral
AUUGAACGCUGGCGGCAGGCCUAACACAUGCAAGUCGAGCGGAUACAGGCCGCUUGCUCCUGGCUUCUGCGGCAGGCGGGUGUGUAAUACCUAAACGUGUCCCUGCUAGUGGGGUAUAUAGUCCGGAGAGGGGCGCUUAUCCCACACACGCCAUGGGGGAGAACGGGGGGGCUCUUCGGAUCUCGCGCUUUCAGCUGACCCUAUGUCGGAUUAGCUAGUUGGUGGGGUAAAGGCCUACCAAGGCGACGAUCCGUAACUGGUCUGAGAGGAUGAUCAGCCACACUGGAACUGAGACACGGUCCAGACUCCUACGGGAGGCAGCAGUGGGGAAUAUUGGACAAUGGGCGAAAGCCUGAUCCAGCCAUGCCGCGUGUGGGAAGAAGGUCUUCGGAUUGUAAAGUGCUUUUAGUUGGGAGGAAAGGCAUUAGGUUAAUACCUGGCUGUAAUGACGUUACCGACAGAAUAAGCACCGGCUAACUACGUG